GAUGAACGCUGGCGGCGUGCCUAAUACAUGCAAGUCGAGCGAACAGACGAGGAGCUUGCUCCUUUGACGUUAGCGGCGGACGGGUGAGUAACACGUAGGUAACCUACCUAUAAGACUGGGAUAACUUCGGGAAACCGGAGCUAAUACCGGAUAAUAUUUCGAACCGCAUGGUUCGUUAGUGAAAGAUGGCUUUGCUAUCACUUAUAGAUGGACCUGCGCCGUAUUAGCUAGUUGGUAAGGUAACGGCUUACCAAGGCAACGAUACGUAGCCGACCUGAGAGGGUGAUCGGCCACACUGGAACUGAGCCACGGUCCAGACUCCUACGGGAGGCAGCAGUAGGGAAUCUUCCGCAAUGGGCGAAAGCCUGACGGAGCAACGCCGCGUGAGUGAUGAAGGUCUUCGGAUCGUAAAACUCUGUUAUUAGGGAAGAACAAACGUGUAAGUAACUGUGCACGUCUUGACGGUACCUAAUCAGAAAGCCACGGCUAACUACGUG
This 497-nucleotide ribosomal RNA is filed under the name uncultured bacterium. RNAcentral's name for it is "partial 16S ribosomal RNA". It matches the Rfam family "Bacterial small subunit ribosomal RNA", at positions 28 to 507 of the family's 1533-position model. The record is from RNAcentral.